RNAcentral lists this ribosomal RNA (429 nucleotides) under uncultured bacterium. RNAcentral's name for it is "partial 16S ribosomal RNA". It matches the Rfam family "Bacterial small subunit ribosomal RNA", at positions 338 to 795 of the family's 1533-position model. The record is from RNAcentral.
CCUACGGGGGGCUGCAGUAACGAAUCUUCCGCAAUGCACGAAAGUGUGACGGAGCGACGCCGCGUGUGGGACGAAGCCCUUCGGGGUGUAAACCACUGUCAAGAGAUAGAUCAUCUCUAGAGGAAGGCACGGCUAACUCUGUGCCAGCAGCCGCGGUAAGACAGAGGUGCCAAGCGUUAGGCGGAAUCACUGGGCUUAAAGCGUGUGUAGGUGGACCUGUAAGUAUCUUGUGAAAUCCCACGGCUUAACCGUGGAACUGCUUGAUAUACUGCGGGUCUUGAGGUGCCUAGGGGCGAGCGGAACAAAUGGUGGAGCGGUGAAAUGCGUAGAUAUCAUUUGGAACGCCAAUGGUGAAAACAGCUCGCUGGGGCACCUGACACUGAGACACGAAAGCCAGGGGAGCAAACGGGAUUAGAUACCCUUGUAGUC